AUUGAACGCUGGCGGCAUGCCUAACACAUGCAAGUCGAACGGCAGCAUGAGUAGAGCUUGCUCUACUUGAUGGCGAGUGGCGGACGGGUGAGUAAUAUGUAGGAAUCUACCUAGAGGUGCGGGAUAACUUAGGGAAACUUAGGCUAAUACCACAUAAGCCCUACGGGGGAAAGCAGGGGAUCGUAAGACCUUGCGCCUUAUGAUGAGCCUACAUCGGAUUAGCUUGUUGGUGGGGUAAAGGCCUACCAAGGCGACGAUCCGUAGCUGGUCUGAGAGGAUGAUCAGCCACACUGGGACUGAGACACGGCCCAGACUCCUACGGGAGGCAGCAGUGGGGAAUAUUGGACAAUGGGCGCAAGCCUGAUCCAGCAAUGCCGCGUGUGUGAAGAAGGCCUUAGGGUUGUAAAGCACUUUAAGCGAGGAGGAGGCUACCGAGAUUAAUACUCUUGGAUAGUGGACGUUACUCGCAGAAUAAGCACCGGCUAACUCUGUGCCAGCCGCCGCGGUAA
RNAcentral lists this ribosomal RNA (509 nucleotides) under uncultured bacterium. Its description in RNAcentral is "partial 16S ribosomal RNA". It matches the Rfam family "Bacterial small subunit ribosomal RNA", at positions 30 to 523 of the family's 1533-position model. The record is from RNAcentral.